Molecule: RNA transcript, 8919 nt
Organism: Gadus macrocephalus (Pacific cod)
Lineage: Eukaryota; Metazoa; Chordata; Actinopteri; Gadiformes; Gadidae
Gene: trpm7
Gene name: transient receptor potential cation channel, subfamily M, member 7
Exons: 33
Source: RefSeq, a predicted model, not a curated record
AGCUAGAGUAUAAAUCCGAUUUUGAGGUUGGUUUCAACAUUGUGUUUUGACUGAAAUGAUACUUGAUUUCAUGACUAAUACGUUUGUUAACUUUGUGAUAUUCCGCACAAGGUGCUAGUCGUGGAGUAGGGAGUGAGUGGAGGGCUCUUUUUGUUCAACACAAACCACACCAACGCUCUUACUCCAUCACCUUCACUUCAUCUCCGCUGUCCUGUCACAUCGGCCACUCCGUCACACGGAGGUCAACACACCUGACUUCAAUGUUGUCUUAUUAUUAAUGUGAAUCGACUUUUGGAACUUUCAACCCUUUGUGCCGUUCACAAUGUCAACAUGCCUUAAACAUUUAAUUAUUAACGUUGUCGUUGAGUAGCAGAUUAAAGUCUAUAGGACUCUUGUACAUCAGAGGGAAUCAUGGGAUGUUUGGUUUCUGAGAGGACUCAAGAGAGUUGUCGAACUGUGGUCCUGAAACCUCGUAUAUCCAGCGAGACACUGAAGCAGCAGACAAAAGACCCACGUCAAACACAAGACCAAUGUCAGCUGUGGAAAGUUUUGAGGAGAAAAGGAAGUGUGUGUGUGUGUGUGUGUGUGUGUGUGUGUGUGUGUGUGUGUGUGUGUGUGUGUGUGUGUGUGUGUGUGUGUGUGUGUGUGUGUGUGUGUGUGUGUGUGUGUGUGUGUGUGUGUGUGUGUGUGUGGGGACACCCCAGAGACGGCGUGGUCAGGCUCCUGGGACCCUCGGGCCGAGGCGUGCAGCAGUGCACUGGGCCGUAAACAAUGAGGGUCAAUCAGGGAAGCGUUCUCCAGGAGAGGUGUGCGGCUGACUUCCUACAGGAACCCUCCGCUCAUAAAGCCUUUCCAGGCGGGAAUUGGGGAGGGAAGUGAGAAGGGAGGAAGGGAGAGUGAACAUGUGAGUGUGUGUGUUUUUGGCUGGAGUUCUAAAGUCCUUAACUCUAUUGUUGCCUGACAUUCUCAGGUACCAUGGUUACUGCUGAGCACAGCCCCAGUGUAAAAGGCCUGUGUGAAGCUCCACUUUGACCCAGUGUUGUACUGGAGGAGCCCUGAUCCGAGCUGCAGUAACGUGGGCUCCUGUUGGGCCAAGCAGUUAGUUCGCUGAAACCGAGAAAGACUUCCAUAGUGAAGCUUUAUUAUCAGCUUGAUGGAGGAGUGUGUUUGUGACCACAGUAACAAGGGGUGUGUGUGUGUGUGUGUGUGUGUGUGUGUGUGUGUGUGUGUGUGUGUGUGUGUGUGUGUGUGUGUGUGUGUGUGUGUGUGUGUGUGUGUGUGUGUGUGUGGUAUAUAUCAUUGAGGUCUCUGCCCUUCCACUAAUCCUCUACCCGCCCUACCCCCCUCUGUUUUUGUUCCUGAAUCCAGUAUAAUAUCCAGGUUGUCCCAGACACAUUCAUCAGGCCCCUCGGUAGCUUCUUACAGAUUAACAGCCAGGGAGUCAGGAGCCGACACGCUAACCUCGCACUCAUCGCUCAGCCUCUAACUAAAGCCGCUUCUGAACCCAGCCGCUGCGGAGCUCACUCUGAGACCUGCGCUGAAGCUGUUCAGGAGGACCUACAAUCGCAGCGGGACCCAGCAGGCAGAGAACACUAGUGGUGUAGCGGCGGGGUGUAACGACGGGGUCUUGUCGUGAAGAGCCAGCGUGUCGGAGGCUGUGGUGACGGUGGUCUUGUUGGGUAGAUCUAACGUGACGCUGAGGCUGUGGUGACGGUGGUUUUGUCCAGGCACUGCUGGCCGGUCCCGGUUAUGUUCCUGUACAAAGCCCUUAAACACAGAGAUGAAGAGGAGGACGCCGAGUCCCAGAAACCCUGGAUAGAAAGCACUUUCACCAAGAGGGAAUGUGUGUACAUCCUGCCAGUGUCCAAAGACCCCCACAGAUGCCUGCCAGGAUGCAAGAUCUGCCAGCAGCUGGUGCGGUGCUGCUGCGGCCGCCUGGUCCGGCAGCAUACCGGCUUCCCCGCCAGCCUGGCCGUCCGCUACUCGGACGGGCGGCUGGGUGACGACCCAGACCGCAGCGCGGGGGAGCCCCAGGAGUGGGCGGUGGACCGGCACACAGAGGAGAGCCCAACCGACGCCUACGGGGUCGUCAACUUCCAGGGGGGCUCCCACUCCUACAGGGCCAAGUACGUGCGUCUGUCCCACGACUCGCCCCCGGAGCACGUCCUGCGCCUCAUGCUGAGGGAGUGGCAGAUGGAGCUGCCCAAGAUCCUCAUCUCGGUCCACGGGGGCAUCCAGAACUUCGAGCUGCACCCGCGCAUCAAGCAGGUGGUGGGGAAGGGGCUGAUCAAGGCGGCCGUCACCACCGGGGCCUGGAUCCUAACCGGGGGGGUCAACACUGGUGUGGCGAAACACGUUGGCGAUGCGCUGAAGGACCACUCCACCAGGUCCUCCAAGAAGAUCUGCACUAUCGGCAUCGCUCCCUGGGGGGUGAUCGAGAACCGGAACGACCUCAUUGGAAGAGACGUGAUCGCUCCGUACCAGACGCUGCUGAACCCCCUCAGUAAGCUCAACGUCCUCAACAACUCCCACUCCCACUUCCUGCUGGUGGAUGACGGGACGGUGGGGCGCUACGGGGCGGAGGUACAGCUCCGCCGGCAGCUGGAGAAACACAUCAACCUGCAGAGGAUCCACGCCCGCAUUGGGCAGGGGGUCCCGGUGGUGGCCCUGAUCCUGGAGGGGGGCCCCAACGUGAUCCUGACGGUGCUGGACUACCUGCAGGAGAGCCCCGCCGUGCCCGUGGUGGUGUGCGAGGGGACGGGCCGCGCCGCCGACAUCCUGGCCUACAUCCACAAGCAGACGGAGGAGGGAGGAGGCCUUCCUGAUGGUGUGGAGGCUGACAUCAUCGCCACCAUCAAGAAAACCUUCAACUUCAGCCACAGCGACGCCAUCCACCUCUUCCAGACGCUCAUGGAGUGCAUGAAGAGCAAAGAGCUGAUCACUGUUUUCCACCUCAGCUCUGAGGACCACCAGGACAUUGACGUGGCCAUCCUCAGAGCGCUGCUCAAAGGAACAAACGCCCUGGCCUUCGAUCAGCUGGUCCUGACGCUGGCCUGGGACCGCGUGGACAUCGCCAAGAACCACGUCUUUGUGUACGGGCAGCAGCUCCUGGUUGGUUCUCUGGAGCAGGCCAUGCUGGACGCCCUGGUGAUGGACAGGGUGGACUUUGUGAAGCUGCUCAUCGAGAACGGGGUCAGCCUCCACCGCUUCCUCACCAUCCAACGGCUGGAGGAGCUCUACAACACGAAACAGCCUUCGAACAACCCCACCCUGCUCCAUCUGGUCAGGGAUGUCAAACAGGGUAAUCUGCCCCCAAACUAUAAGAUCACCUUGAUUGACGUGGGCCUGGUAAUUGAGUUCCUCAUGGGCGGGACUUACAGGUGCAACUACACCAGGAAACGGUUCCGGACCAUAUACAACAGCCUGCACGGCAGCAACCGGAGAUCGGGGCGCCACAUGGCGGGCUCCGGUUCUCACCUGAGGAACAGCCACGAGACCUUCAGCAUCCAGGCGGACAAGAAGGAGAAGACCAGACACAGCCACUUCAUUAAGACCGCCCAGCCAUACAAGCCCAAGCCAGAAGUUUCCACAGAGCAGAACAAGAAGAGGAGCAAGGAGGAGAUGGUGGACAUCGACGACCCCGAGACGCGGCGCUUCCCCUACCCCUUCAACGAGCUGCUGGUGUGGGCCGUUCUGAUGAAGAGGCAGAAGAUGGCGCUGUUCUUCUGGCAGCACGGGGAGGAGAACAUGGCCAAGGCGCUGGUGGCCUGCAAGCUCUGCCGCUCCAUGUGCUUCGAGGCCAAAAAGAGCGACCUGGUGGACGACACUUCUGAGGAGCUGAAGGAGUACUCCAAUGAGUUUGGCACGCUGGCCGUGGACCUGCUGGAGGAGUCUUUCCGCCAGGACGAGACCAUGGCCAUGAAGCUGCUCACCUACGAGCUGAAGAACUGGAGCAACUCCACCUGCCUGAAGCUGGCUGUGUCCUCCCACCUGCGGCCCUUCGUGGCUCACACCUGCACCCAGAUGCUUCUGUCGGACAUGUGGAUGGGAAGGCUCAACAUGCGCAAGAACUCCUGGUACAAGGUGAUCCUGAGUAUGCUGGUUCCUCCUGCCAUCCUGCUGUUAGAGUACAAGUCCAAGGCAGAGAUGGCCCACAUCCCUCAGAGCCAGGAUGACCACCAGAUGACCAUGGAGGACAGCGAGCACAACUUCCACCAUAUGGCCGACGACAUCCAGAUGGACGUGUUUAAAGAAGCCAGGUCACAUGACACCACAGAGGUGAAGAAUGACACUGAGACCCACCCCCGCUCCAGGAAGCUGCCCCUGACCAGGAAGAUCUACGCCUUCUACCAUGCCCCCAUCGUCAAGUUCUGGUCCAACACGCUCUUCUACCUGGCCUUCCUGAUGUUCUACUCCUACGUGGUGCUGGUGAAGAUGCCCGAGUGGCCGUCUCCCCAGGAGUGGGUGGUCAUCCUCUACAUCUUCACCUCCGCCGUGGAGAAGAUCCGCGAGAUGUUCAUGUCGGAGGCGGGUAAGAUCAGCCAGAAGAUCAAGGUGUGGUUCAGCGACUACUUCAACGUGUCCGACUUCCUGGCCAUCGUCACGUUCUUCGCGGGCUUCGGGCUGCGGCUGGCGGGGGGCGAGGCCUUCGUCCCGGGCCGGACGGUGUACUGCCUCAACAUCGUCUUCUGGUACGUCCGCCUGCUGGACAUCCUGGCCGUCAACCAGCAGGCAGGGCCCUACGUCAUGAUGAUCGCCAAGAUGGUGGCCAACAUGUUCUACAUCGUGGUGAUCAUGGCCAUCGUUCUCCUGAGUUACGGCGUUCCCAGGAAAGCCAUCCUGUACCCGGAUGAGGAUCCCAGCUGGACGCUGGCCAAAGACGUGGUGUUCCAGCCGUACUGGAUGAUGUAUGGUGAAGUAUACGCGUACGAAAUCGAUGUGUGCGCCAACAACAGCGACCCCUCGGUCAAGAAGCUAUGCACCACCAGCGUGUGGCUCACCCCCCUGCUGCAAGCCGUCUACCUCUUCGUCCAGUACAUCCUGAUGGUCAACCUCCUCAUCGCCUUCUUCAACAACAUCUACCUGCAGGUGAAGUCCAUCUCCAACCUGGUGUGGAAGUACCAGCGCUACCACUUCAUCAUGGCCUACCAUGAGAAGCCCGUCCUGCCGCCGCCCUUCAUCCUGCUCUGCCACGUCUUCUCCCUCUUCUACUGCAUGUGUCGCAAGAGGAAGAAGGAGAGCACCUACGGCCCCAAGCUGUUCCUCACCGAGGAGGACCAGAAGAAGCUGCAUGACUUCGAGACGCAGUGUCUGGAGACCUACUUCCACGAGAAGGACGACGAGUUCCACUCGGGGAGCGAGGAGCGAAUACGAAUCACCUCGGACCGCGUGGAGACCAUGGGCAUCCAGCUAAAGGAGGUGGGCAACAAGGUGAACUUCAUCAAGCGCUCGCUGCACACGCUGGACUCCCAGAUCGGCCACCUCCAGGACCUGUCGGCGCUGACCGUGGACACGCUGAAGGCCCUGACCGCCCAGCGCGCCUCGGAGGCCAGCAAGGUGCAUAACCAGAUCAGCCGGGAGCUCAGCCUCUCCAAGAACGUGGGCCCCGGGGACGCGGGCCCCCAGUCCAAGCCCUCCGCACUGGCCAAGCGCAGCGUGGGGGCCUUCUUCGGCUCCCCUUUCGGCUCCUCCUUCCCGCAGGCCGGGGGCAACCUGGCCGACUCCCUGUUCGGCCUGGGGGCGGGGGGGGGCGGGGUGCCGGACGCCGGCCGCAGGGCGGGGCUGGGCCACGGGCCGGACCCCGGCGCCCCCCUGGGGGCCGAGCGGAGGGGCUGGAUGGGGCUGGGGAACCUGGCGGGCGUUGAGGCGGGCGUGUCCGGGGGCUUCCCGCCCCGGGCCCCGGCAGCGUCCCCCCCCGAGCUGCGGCACCGGGGGAACUCCUUCACCCAGAGGCAGCUGGGCCGUCCACAGGAGCCCGGCAUCUCCGACUCCUCCGCCAGCCUGCCCAACGUUCCCUCCCCGGGGGCCCGCUUCUACGUCAGCAGCACCCCCUCCCAGCCCAGUGGCUCCAGCCACCCGGAACUCACCCUGACCGGGCCCUACCGCCCCCCCCCCACCGACAGCACCGUGGUGGAGUUCGGGGCGUUCGUCGGUAAGUACGGCCAGGGGGAGGUGGAGAGGAAGGAGGACGACUGUGUGUGUGUGUACCCUACCGUUGUCGUGGUUUCCAAGGAUUCAAACUCUGGCCGAGCCGGGCGCUUGCCCACCUACUCUGAGUCGGAGGGGGGGUUCGGGGGCGGGGGGAGGGCGGGGGGCGGGGGCUUCGUGAACGAGGCGUUCUGCGACGACGACGGCCGUUCACUAAGAGCCGGCCCGUCUAGCCCGCGGGUUAGAGUGGCUGACGCCCACGUGGUCGACAUGGCGACCGACGAAAACACCCCCGCGUCCUCGUACAGCGACGCUCGAGAAACGGCGCCCCCCGCGGCUCUUGCCCCUGCAGGGGAGCCCAGAAGACCCCAGAAGAAGAAGAGCAGAGAAGGGCGCGAGGCCCCCAGAAGGCACCAGAGCGUCCCUCCCGGACCGGCCCCCAGCAGCAGAGGACACAAGGACGCCGUGGAGCUUCAGUCCUCCUCCCCCAAAGACAGGCUGCCAGCGCCCAGCAGACAGCCCAGCCCGGGCGCCCGCAGCCGGCCGCAGGCUCCUUCUGAAGUCCGGCCCCACAUGAGGACGGUCAACUCGUACGCUGGCUUCACGGAGUUCGACCAGGGGCCUCCGUUCCUCCACCCGGACUCCUCUCUCAGUAAGACGGAGAGGAGCAGAGUUUCAGCAGAAGACAUCCUCCUCUACGAUGAUCCUUGCGCCACGGUCACGCUGCACCAGGAGAGUCUGCAGGUGAAGUCCGCCCAGGCCAGCAGUCUACGGGCCGGGGGCGAGGAUGUACUGAACGGUAAAGACUCUCGUCUCUCUCGUCUCCUUCGUCAGGCUUUCUCUGGUCCAUCUGUCUGUCUCUAGUCUGUAGGCAGCCCUCUCACUCUCCCUGUGUCACUAGUCUGUAGGCAGACCUCUCACUCUCCCUGUGUCACUAGUCUGUAGGUCCUCUCACUCUCCCUGGGUCACUAGUCUGGAGGCAGACCUCUCACUCUCCCUGUGUCACUAGUCUGUAGGUCCUCUCACUCUCCCUGUGUCACUAGUCUGUAGGUCCUCACACUCUCCCUGUGUCACUAGUCUGUAGGUCCUCUCCAGGGGCGUUGCUAGACCUAGAGUUUUACUGGGGCACAGGCCCCCAACUGCCAACAUUUUUUUUUACGUGUGCACAAUAUGAAAUAUAUGGAUACAGAAGGGUAUGUACGAGCUUCAAAAUUGUUGUCACUGUCAUACUGUAGGCUAUAUUAAAGCACUGGUAAAGGUAAAGACGCAAAGAUGGAUUCAUGAGUACCGUACAAUUAUAUUUAUUUAAACACAUACACAUCUCAAAGAUUUACAAAUAAGGUAACUGACAAAUAAACAAAAAGUCUCUUUAUGACCUUCACCUCUUUAUCAGGAGAAGUCUACACAUCUAUAUUUAUUUAGAAGCUGUGUGGAAACAGCAUAAUUUUGCCAGAACGACAUGUACUAAAAAGGCAAGAAACAAGGUUUAAAACUAAUAGAAUUUCUGACUUGAGGUGAGGUGGCUCAUUGCCACCAAUCAACCUGGAAAAUGUUAUAGAACCAUCAAAGCUCUUAAAUUAAACUAAAUAAGGCCAUACACUACUGCAUAGAGCCUUUUUAAAUGAUUAUUUUUUCACUAUUAAGCUGUAUCGCCGUGCCUUCAUGGUGGCAAAGCGGUCAAUAACGUGGCUUUGACUCACUUUGCAUAGUUGCUCCUUUUCAAUGGACAAAAGAGAAAGUUGGUGAAGCCUUCCUUGCCCCAUGGUUGACCUAAGCCAGGUGUGGAGCCUUCUCGACACACUGAAAGAUCGCUCACAACUACAACUGUUUACAGGAAUUCUCCCGUGGUUUCCAACGAAACAUGAUCAACAAAAAAACAAGGAAUUGAAAGCUACUUACAAUAUGCCUAGGUUACAUUCAUUUCCCCUGAUGGCAGCAAUGUUCCACUUUCAGCUGGAAUUCACGGUACAUCAAAACCACGUGUCUUCUUUAGAUUUCAGUUCCCUUUAUUUAUUCACACAGUUCAGCAGCGGCAUUUAUUCAGAAUCAGAGCCCAAAUUAAAGCUGCAUUUAGGGCGACUAUCACUACCCAGCAGAAAAAUAGAUGCACUAUAAAUGGUUUUGUAUAGCAGUCACGAACAUGAGCAUAGUUGUGGAAAUGCUGGUGUUAGAAAACAUAGUUGACGGGAAUUAAAGUGCUGCACAUCGACUGUACAAAUGUAGAUUAUUCAUCACAAGAAUUUUAAUUCAGAAAUCGAAUAGGCUAAUAAACUCUGAAUUGUGAGAUAAAAUUCAGCAUUCUGAAUAAAGUCAGAAUACUUGGAUAAAAUCCGAAUUCUGAUAAUUAAAUCCAGCAUUAAAGGUUAAUUUAAGAAGGUUCUCACCAGUCAUUUGUCGCCUGGUCACAGUGUCAAGUUUUUUUUUUAAAGUAGUUCACUAGUCGUAGCGUGCAAAUAAAUUGCAGUGUCAGAAUUCUGAGAAUUUUGUCAGCAUUCAGAUUUCCCAGAAUUCUCUUACACUGCAAAUUAAAGCACUACUACUAGCAAACUAGUUUCAGCGUGACUGGAGAGAACUUCCUUAAAUGAACCUUUAAUGCUAGAUUUGCAUCAACGCUAUUGUGUGAAUUGGUAUGGUUCUCUUUCAUGGAAGCCGGAAGUGGGAGAUUCCUUAUUUUUUUUACCAUUAUUGUUUUAUUAACAAAUUUCUCCUACAGGGGAUUGAUAAAGUUCUAUCUAGACUAUUGAACAGAAAGAAACACUUGGUCAUACUUUA